GUAGGGAAUAUUGGGCAAUGGAUGCAAGUCUGACCCAGCCAUCCCGCGUGCCGGAAGAAGGCCCUCAGGGUUGUAAACGGCUUUUGACGGUGAAGAAUCGACAGGAUGCGUCCUGUUUUGACGGUAGCCGUUGAAUAAGCACCGGCUAACUCCGUGCCAGCAGCCGCGGUAAUACGGAGGGUGCGAGCGUUGUCCGGAUUUAUUGGGUUUAAAGGGUGCGUAGGCUGGAAGGUCAGUCAGCGGUGAAAAGCUGUCGCUUAACGAUAGUCUUGCCGCAGAUACUUCCUUUCUUGGAUGAGGAUGAGGCCACUGGAACGGAUGGUGUAGCGGUGAAAUGCAUAGAUAUCAUCCAGAACACCGAUUGCGAAGGCAGGUGGCUGUACCUUAAUCGACGCUGAUGCACGAAAGCAUGGGGAGCAAACAGGAUUAGAAACCCUAGUAGUCC
Molecule: ribosomal RNA, 445 nt
Filed under: uncultured bacterium
Lineage: Bacteria
Description: partial 16S ribosomal RNA
Rfam family: Bacterial small subunit ribosomal RNA
Source: RNAcentral